GGUGUUAUGGCUCAGUGGUAGAGCGCUCAUCUAGCACGUGUAAGGCUCUGGGUUCCAUCCUCAGCACCA
Molecule: transfer RNA, 69 nt
Filed under: Ictidomys tridecemlineatus (thirteen-lined ground squirrel)
Lineage: Eukaryota; Metazoa; Chordata; Mammalia; Rodentia; Sciuridae
Description: Spermophilus tridecemlineatus (thirteen-lined ground squirrel) tRNA
Rfam family: tRNA
About the family: Transfer RNA (tRNA) molecules are approximately 80 nucleotides in length.
Source: Rfam by way of RNAcentral